Molecule: ribosomal RNA, 253 nt
Filed under: uncultured bacterium
Lineage: Bacteria
Description: partial 16S ribosomal RNA
Rfam family: Bacterial small subunit ribosomal RNA
Source: RNAcentral
UACGAAGGGGGCUAGCGUUGCUCGGAAUCACUGGGCGUAAAGGGUGCGUAGGCGGGUCUUUAAGUCAGAGGUGAAAUCCUGGAGCUCAACUCCAGAACUGCCUUUGAUACUGAGGAUCUUGAGUUCGGGAGAGGUGAGUGGAACUGCGAGUGUAGAGGUGAAAUUCGUAGAUAUUCGGAAGAACACCAGUGGCGAAGGCGACUUACUGGACACAUAUUGACGCUGAGGCGCGAAAGCCAGGGGAGCAAACGGG